This 433-nucleotide ribosomal RNA is filed under the name uncultured bacterium. RNAcentral's name for it is "partial 16S ribosomal RNA". It matches the Rfam family "Bacterial small subunit ribosomal RNA", at positions 29 to 507 of the family's 1533-position model. The record is from RNAcentral.
AACGAACGCUGGCGGCAUGCCUAACACAUGCAAGUCGAACGAGGCCUUCGGGUCUAGUGGCGCACGGGUGCGUAACGCGUGGGAACCUGCCCUUAGGUUCGGAAUAACUCCCCGAAAGGGGUGCUAAUACCGGAUAAUGUCUUCGGACCAAAGAUUUAUCGCCUUUGGAUGGGCCCGCGUUGGAUUAGCUAGUUGGCAGGGUAAAAGCCUACCAAGGCGACGAUCCAUAGCUGGUCUGAGAGGAUGAUCAGCCACACUGGGACUGAGACACGGCCCAGACUCCUACGGGAGGCAGCAGUGGGGAAUAUUGGACAAUGGGCGAAAGCCUGAUCCAGCAAUGCCGCGUGAGGGAUGAAGGCCUUAGGGUUGUAAAGCUCUUUUACCCGGGAUGAUAAUGACAGUACCGGGAGAAUAAGCUCCGGCUAACUCCGUG